GACGAACGCUGGCGGCGUGCUUAACACAUGCAAGUCGAACGGUGAAGCGCCUUCCUUUUUGGUGGGUGUGGAUGAGUGGCGAACGGGUGAGUAACACGUGAGUAACCUGCCCCCUUCUUCUGGAUAACCGCAUGAAAGUGUGGCUAAUACGGGAUACUCCGUGUCUGUCGCAUGAUGGGUCUGGGAAAGAUAUUGUUUCGGUGGGGGAUGGGAUCGCGGCCUAUCAGCUUGUUGGUGGGGUGAUGGCCUACCAAGGCGGUGACGGGUAGCCGGCCUGAGAGGGUGGACGGUCACACUGGGACUGAGACACGGCCCAGCCUCCUACGGGAGGCAGCGGUGGGGAAUAUUGCACAAGGGGCGCAAGCCUGAUGCAGCGACGCCGCGUGAGGGAUGGAGGCCUUCGGGUUGUGAACCUCUUUCGCCAGAGAAGCAGGCCUGCCUCGUUUGUGGGUGGGUUGACGGUAGCUGGAUAAGAAGCGCCGGCUAACUACGUG
RNAcentral lists this ribosomal RNA (494 nucleotides) under uncultured bacterium. RNAcentral's name for it is "partial 16S ribosomal RNA". It matches the Rfam family "Bacterial small subunit ribosomal RNA", at positions 28 to 507 of the family's 1533-position model. The record is from RNAcentral.